RNAcentral lists this ribosomal RNA (497 nucleotides) under uncultured bacterium. RNAcentral describes it as "partial 16S ribosomal RNA". It matches the Rfam family "Bacterial small subunit ribosomal RNA", at positions 28 to 507 of the family's 1533-position model. The record is from RNAcentral.
GAUGAACGCUGGCGGCGUGCCUAAUACAUGCAAGUCGAGCGGACAGACGAGGAGCUUGCGCCUCUGACGUUAGCGGCGGACGGGUGAGUAACGCGUGGAUCACCUACCUAUAAGACGGGGAUAACUUCGUGAAACCGGAUCUAAUACCGGAUAAUAUAUUGAACCGCAUGGUGCAAUGGAUAAAGACGGUUUUGCUGUCACUUAUAGAUGGAUCCGCGCCGCAUUAGCUAGUUGGUAAGGUAACGGCUUACCAAGGCUACGAUGCGUAGCCGAACUGAGAGGGUGAUCGGCCACACUGGAACUGAGACACGGUCCAGACUCCUACGGGAGGCAGCAGUAGGGAAUCUUCCGCAAUGGGCGAAAGCUUGACGGAGCAACGCCGCGUGAGUGAUGAAGGUCUUCGGAUCGUAAAACUCUGUUAUUAGGGAAGAACAAAUGUGUAAGUAACUAUGCACGUCUUGACGGUACCUAAUCAGAAAGCCACGGCUAACUACGUG